UUCCAGUUGAUGAGUCCAAAAUAGGACGAAGUGCGCAACCUGGAU
RNAcentral lists this non-coding RNA (45 nucleotides) under Trichobilharzia regenti. Lineage: Eukaryota; Metazoa; Platyhelminthes; Trematoda; Strigeidida; Schistosomatidae. The record is from RNAcentral.